This 2905-nucleotide ribosomal RNA is filed under the name Serratia marcescens. RNAcentral's name for it is "23S ribosomal RNA". It matches the Rfam family "Bacterial large subunit ribosomal RNA". Lineage: Bacteria; Pseudomonadati; Pseudomonadota; Gammaproteobacteria; Enterobacterales; Yersiniaceae. The record is from RNAcentral.
UUAAGUGACUAAGCGUACACGGUGGAUGCCUAGGCAGUCAGAGGCGAUGAAGGGCGUGCUAAUCUGCGAAAAGCGUCGGUAAGGUGAUAUGAACCGUUAUAACCGGCGAUACCCGAAUGGGGAAACCCAGUGUGUUUCGACACACUAUCAUGUCAUGAAUACAUAGUGGCAUGAGGCGAACCGGGGGAACUGAAACAUCUAAGUACCCCGAGGAAAAGAAAUCAACCGAGAUUCCCCCAGUAGCGGCGAGCGAACGGGGAGGAGCCCAGAACCUGAAUCGGCUUGUGUGUUAGUGGAAGCGUCUGGAAAGUCGCGCAGUAAAGGGUGAUAGCCCCGUACACUAAAAUGCACAGGUCGUGAGUUCGAUGAGUAGGGCGGGACACGUGACAUCCUGUCUGAAUAUGGGGGGACCAUCCUCCAAGGCUAAAUACUCCUGACUGACCGAUAGUGAACCAGUACCGUGAGGGAAAGGCGAAAAGAACCCCGGCGAGGGGAGUGAAAUAGAACCUGAAACCGUGUACGUACAAGCAGUGGGAGCACCUUCGUGGUGUGACUGCGUACCUUUUGUAUAAUGGGUCAGCGACUUAUAUUUUGUAGCAAGGUUAACCGUAUAGGGGAGCCGUAGGGAAACCGAGUCUUAACUGGGCGAAUAGUUGCAAGGUAUAGACCCGAAACCCGGUGAUCUAGCCAUGGGCAGGUUGAAGGUUGGGUAACACUAACUGGAGGACCGAACCGACUAAUGUUGAAAAAUUAGCGGAUGACUUGUGGCUGGGGGUGAAAGGCCAAUCAAACCGGGAGAUAGCUGGUUCUCCCCGAAAGCUAUUUAGGUAGCGCCUCGUGAACUCAUCUUCGGGGGUAGAGCACUGUUUCGGCUAGGGGGCCAUCCCGGCUUACCAAACCGAUGCAAACUCCGAAUACCGAAGAAUGUUAUCACGGGAGACACACGGCGGGUGCUAACGUCCGUCGUGAAGAGGGAAACAACCCAGACCGCCAGCUAAGGUCCCAAAGUCAUGGUUAAGUGGGAAACGAUGUGGGAAGGCACAGACAGCCAGGAUGUUGGCUUAGAAGCAGCCAUCAUUUAAAGAAAGCGUAAUAGCUCACUGGUCGAGUCGGCCUGCGCGGAAGAUGUAACGGGGCUAAACCAUGCACCGAAGCUGCGGCAGCGACGCUUAGGCGUUGUUGGGUAGGGGAGCGUUCUGUAAGCCGUUGAAGGUGGCCUGUGAGGGUUGCUGGAGGUAUCAGAAGUGCGAAUGCUGACAUAAGUAACGAUAAAGCGGGUGAAAAGCCCGCUCGCCGGAAGACCAAGGGUUCCUGUCCAACGUUAAUCGGGGCAGGGUGAGUCGACCCCUAAGGCGAGGCUGAAAAGCGUAGUCGAUGGGAAACAGGUUAAUAUUCCUGUACUUGGUGUUACUGCGAAGGGGGGACGGAGAAGGCUAGGCUGGCCGGGCGACGGUUGUCCCGGUUUAAGCGUGUAGGGGGUGUGACCUGGUAAAUCCGGUUGCAUAUCAACCCUGAGGCGUGAUGACGAUGCACUACGGUGCAGAAGUAGUUGAUGCCCUGCUUCCAGGAAAAUCCUCUAAGCUCCAGGUAACAUUGAAUCGUACCCCAAACCGACACAGGUGGUCAGGUAGAGAAUACCAAGGCGCUUGAGAGAACUCGGGUGAAGGAACUAGGCAAAAUGGUGCCGUAACUUCGGGAGAAGGCACGCUGGCAUGUAGGUGAAGUCCCUUGCGGAUGGAGCUGAAGCCAGUCGAAGAUACCAGCUGGCUGCAACUGUUUAAUAAAAACACAGCACUGUGCAAACACGAAAGUGGACGUAUACGGUGUGACGCCUGCCCGGUGCUGGAAGGUUAAUUGAUGGGGUCAGCCGCAAGGCGAAGCUCUUGAUCGAAGCCCCAGUAAACGGCGGCCGUAACUAUAACGGUCCUAAGGUAGCGAAAUUCCUUGUCGGGUAAGUUCCGACCUGCACGAAUGGCGUAAUGAUGGCCAGGCUGUCUCCACCCGAGACUCAGUGAAAUUGAACUCGCUGUGAAGAUGCAGUGUACCCGCGGCAAGACGGAAAGACCCCGUGAACCUUUACUAUAGCUUGACACUGAACAUUGAGCCUUGAUGUGUAGGAUAGGUGGGAGGCUUUGAAGCGUGGACGCCAGUCUGCGUGGAGCCAUCCUUGAAAUACCACCCUUUAAUGUUUGAUGUUCUAACUCGGCCCCGUGAUCCGGGGUGAGGACAGUGUCUGGUGGGUAGUUUGACUGGGGCGGUCUCCUCCCAAAGAGUAACGGAGGAGCACGAAGGUUAGCUAAUCACGGUCGGACAUCGUGAGGUUAGUGCAAAGGCAUAAGCUAGCUUGACUGCGAGAGUGACGGCUCGAGCAGGUACGAAAGUAGGUCUUAGUGAUCCGGUGGUUCUGAAUGGAAGGGCCAUCGCUCAACGGAUAAAAGGUACUCCGGGGAUAACAGGCUGAUACCGCCCAAGAGUUCAUAUCGACGGCGGUGUUUGGCACCUCGAUGUCGGCUCAUCACAUCCUGGGGCUGAAGUAGGUCCCAAGGGUAUGGCUGUUCGCCAUUUAAAGUGGUACGCGAGCUGGGUUUAGAACGUCGUGAGACAGUUCGGUCCCUAUCUGCCGUGGGCGUUGGAAGAUUGAGAGGGGUUGCUCCUAGUACGAGAGGACCGGAGUGAACGCACCACUGGUGUUCGGGUUGUCAUGCCAAUGGCAUUGCCCGGUAGCUAAGUGCGGAAAAGAUAAGCGCUGAAAGCAUCUAAGCGCGAAACUUGCCUCAAGAUGAGUCUUCCCUGGGCCUUUAAGGCCCCUGAAGGAACGUUUAAGACUAAGACGUUGAUAGGCUGGGUGUGUAAGUGCAGCGAUGCAUUGAGCUAACCAGUACUAAUGAUCCGUGAGGCUUAACCU